GAUGAAGAACGUAGCGAAAUGCGAUAAGUAAUGUGAAUUGCAGAAUUCAGUGAAUCAUCGAAUCUUUGAACGCACAUUGCGCCCUCUGGUAUUCCGGAGGGCAUGCCUGUUCGAGCGUCAUUUCGACCCUCAAGCAUUGCUUGGUGUUGGGGCACCGCCUGUAAAAGGGCGGGCCUGAAAUCUAGUGGCGAGCUCGCCAGGACCCCGAGCGUAGUAAUUAUAUUUCGUUCUGGAAGGCCCUGGCGGUGCCCUGCCGUUAAACCCCCAACUUCUGAAAAUUUGACCUCGGAUCAGGUAGGAAUACCCGCUGAACUUAAGCAUAUCAAUAAGCGGAGGA
This 337-nucleotide unclassified non-coding RNA is filed under the name soil metagenome. RNAcentral's name for it is "partial contains 5.8S ribosomal RNA, internal transcribed spacer 2, and large subunit ribosomal RNA". The stretch from base 1 to 120 matches the Rfam family "5.8S ribosomal RNA", at positions 35 to 154 of the family's 154-position model. The record is from RNAcentral.